ACUCCUACGGGAAGGCAGCAGGUGGGGUAAUUUUGGACAAUGGGGCAACCCUGAUCCAGCCAUGCCGCGUGCAGGAUGAAGGCCUUCGGGUUGUAAACUGCUUUUGUACGGAACGAAAAGACUCUGGUUAAUACCUGGGGUCCAUGACGGUACCGUAAGAAUAAGCACCGGCUAACUACGUGCCAGCAGCCGCGGUAAU
RNAcentral lists this ribosomal RNA (199 nucleotides) under uncultured bacterium. RNAcentral describes it as "partial 16S ribosomal RNA". It matches the Rfam family "Bacterial small subunit ribosomal RNA", at positions 335 to 524 of the family's 1533-position model. The record is from RNAcentral.